Molecule: long non-coding RNA, 614 nt
Filed under: Sus scrofa (pig)
Lineage: Eukaryota; Metazoa; Chordata; Mammalia; Artiodactyla; Suidae
Description: lncRNA (ENSSSCG00035076096.1)
Source: RNAcentral
CCGGCCGCCACCCGCCCGCCGGCUCCGGUGGUUGGGCGGAGGAAGCGCGGGACUCCUCCUCCCCACCGUAUUAACAUGCACCUAGGGGCGGGUGACCAGCGCAGCCUCGCCGCCCUAGCCCGCCGCUUCCCGGCGCUCAGCCUCUGCGCCAGAGGCGAGCGCUGCGCUCCGGGCGCCGCAAUCCUGAGGACACGGCCUCUUCGACACCUCCAGCCCCGGGGAAUCGGCAGUAUCAGCGGCGGGAGCGGCCGCAGCCGCCUCGGCUCCUCUCUGGAGUCCUUCCCAUCACCUCGCUGAGAGCCUGUCCCAGCCACGGGGACAUCUCUUUCGUCCUUCCUCGUCGGCUUGUGGGACCGACGGACGAAAGCGGGGACCGAGGGCCGGACCGCAGGCAGCGACAAGCACCUGGUGGACGGUGUUUCCGAGCACCUUCUGAAAUUACUACUCGCACCUUUCCUGGGACACUUUUUAAAAGGACCAGCAAGCCUCCAGUUGACGUGGCUAGAAUCCCAGAUUCAUGGAGCUGUUGCAGAGCACAUCUCAGUGGUCUCCCUAAGUCUGGCCUUCUCAUAGAAGUGCCUGUGAGCAGUGAAAUAGGGCGUAAAGUGAGCUGA